AGAGUUUGAUUCUGGCUCAGGAUGAACGCUGGCGGCGUGCCUAACACAUGCAAGUCGAGCGAUCUCUCGGAGAAGAGCGGCGGACGGGUGAGUAACGCGUGGGUAACCUGCCCUAUACACACGGAUAACGUACCGAAAGGUACGCUAAUACGAGAUAAUAUGCUUUAGUCGCAUGGCUGAAGUAUCAAAGCUCCGGCGGUAUAGGAUGGACCCGCGUCUGAUUAGCUAGUUGGUAAGGUAAUGGCUUACCAAGGCGACGAUCAGUAGCCGACCUGAGAGGGUGAUCGGCCACAUUGGAACUGAGACACGGUCCAAACUCCUACGGGAGGCAGCAGUGGGGAAUAUUGCACAAUGGGCGAAAGCCUGAUGCAGCCAACGCCGCGUGAGCGAUGAAGGCCUUCGGGUCGUAAAGCUCUGUCCUCAAGGAAGAUAAUGACGGUACUUGAGGAGGAAGCCCCGGCUAACUACGUGCCAGCAGCAGC
RNAcentral lists this ribosomal RNA (482 nucleotides) under uncultured bacterium. Its description in RNAcentral is "bacterial SSU rRNA". It matches the Rfam family "Bacterial small subunit ribosomal RNA", at positions 8 to 518 of the family's 1533-position model. The record is from RNAcentral.